UAUGCUUAACACAUGCAAGUCGAACGGCAGCACGAGAGAGCUUGCUCUCCUGGCUGACGAGUGGCGGACGGGUGAGUACGCGUAAGAAUCUGCCUAGUAGUGGGGGAUAACUCGGGGAAACUCGAGCUAAUACCGCAUACGCCCUACGGGGGAAAGUGGGGGACCUUCGGGCCUCACGCUAUUAGAUGAGCUUGCGUUGGAUUAGCUAGUUGGUGAGGUAAUGGCUCACCAAGGCGACGAUCCAUAGCUGGUCUGAGAGGACGAUCAGCCACACUGGGACUGAGACACGGCCCAGACUCCUACGGGAGGCAGCAGUGGGGAAUAUUGGACAAUGGGCGCAAGCCUGAUCCAGCAAUACCGCGUGUGUGAAGAAGGCCUGCGGGUUGUAAAGCACUUUCAAUUGUGAAGAAAAGCUUGGGGUUAAUAGCCCCGAGUCUUGACGUUAACUUUAGAAGAAGCACCGGCUAACUCUGUGCCAGCAGCCGCGGUAAUACAGAGGGUGCGAGCGUUAAUCGGAAUUACUGGGCGUAAAGCGUGCGUAGGCGGUUUAGUAAGUCAGAUGUGAAAGCCCUGGGCUUAACCUGGGAACUGCAUUUGAAACUGCUGAACUAGAGUGUGGUAGAGGGAAGUGGAAUUCCGGGUGUAGCGGUGAAAUGCGUAGAUAUCCGGAGGAACACCAGUGGCGAAGGCGACUUCCUGGACCAACACUGACGCUGAGGUACGAAAGCGUGGGUAGCAAACAGGAUUAGAUACCCUGGUAGUCCUCGCCUUAUACGAU
Molecule: ribosomal RNA, 778 nt
Filed under: bacterium enrichment culture clone PAH62-P1
Lineage: Bacteria
Description: bacterial SSU rRNA
Rfam family: Bacterial small subunit ribosomal RNA
Source: RNAcentral